CGGAAGAGGAUGGGCAUGCGGCGCAUUAGCUAGACGGCGGGGUAACGGCCCACCGUGGCGACGAUGCGUAGGGGUUCUGAGAGGAAGGUCCCCCACACUGGUACUGAGACACGGACCAGACUCCUACGGGAGGCAGCAGUGAGGAAUAUUGGUCAAUGGGAGAGAUCCUGAACCAGCCAAGCCGCGUGAGGGAAGACGGCCCUAUGGGUUGUAAACCUCUUUUGUCGGAGAACAAAACCCGGGACGAGUCCCGGACUGCGUGUAUCCGAAGAAAAAGCAUCGGCUAACUCCGUGCCAGCAGCCGCGGUAAUACGGAGGAUGCGAGCGUUAUCCGGAUUUAUUGGGUUUAAAGGGUGCGUAGGCGGUCCGUUAAGUCAGCGGUAAAAUUGCGGGGCUCAACCCCGUCGAGCCGUUGAAACUGGCAGACUUGAGUUGGCGAGAAGUACGCGGAAUGCGCGGUGUAGCGGUGAAAUGCAUAGAUAUC
Molecule: ribosomal RNA, 484 nt
Filed under: uncultured bacterium
Lineage: Bacteria
Description: bacterial SSU rRNA
Rfam family: Bacterial small subunit ribosomal RNA
Source: RNAcentral